This 466-nucleotide ribosomal RNA is filed under the name uncultured bacterium. Its description in RNAcentral is "partial 16S ribosomal RNA". It matches the Rfam family "Bacterial small subunit ribosomal RNA", at positions 28 to 507 of the family's 1533-position model. The record is from RNAcentral.
GACGAACGCUGGCGGCGCGCCUAACACAUGCAAGUCGAACGAGCGAGAGAGAGCUUGCUUUCUUGAGCGAGUGGCGAACGGGUGAGUAACGCGUGAGGAACCUGCCUCAAAGAGGGGGACAACAGUUGGAAACGACUGCUAAUACCGCAUAAGCCCACGGUGCCGCCUGGCACAGAGGGAAAAGGAGCAAUCCGCUUUGAGAUGGCCUCGCGUCCGAUUAGCUAGUUGGUGAGGUAACGGCCCACCAAGGCGACGAUCGGUAGCCGGACUGAGAGGUUGAACGGCCACAGUGGGAAUGAGACACGGCCCAGACUCCUACGGGAGGCAGCAGUGGGGAAUAUUGCACAAUGGGGGAAACCCUGAUGCAGCGACGCCGCGUGGAGGAAGAAGGUCUUCGGAUUGUAAACCCCUGUUGUUGGGGAAGAUAAUGACGGUACCCAACAAGGAAGUGACGGCUAACUACGUG